This 237-nucleotide transfer RNA is filed under the name Metarhizium anisopliae. RNAcentral describes it as "tRNA-Lys". Lineage: Eukaryota; Fungi; Ascomycota; Sordariomycetes; Hypocreales; Clavicipitaceae. The record is from RNAcentral.
AUAAUAAUAAUUAAAGUUAUAUUAUUUUAUUUUUAUUUAUAAAAUAUUAUAAAUAAUAUUUAAAAGUUUAGUUUAUUUAUUUUAUUUAUUUAUUUAUUUAAAAAUAAAAAGCUAUAAAAAGUUAUUUUUUAACCUUAAAAAAAUAAUAAAAAUUUACCUAAAAUUAGCUUAUAAAUAUAAUAUUUUUAUUAUUAAUAAUUUUUUUAAAUAUAUUAAAUUAAAAUUUUAUUUUUUAAU